Molecule: ribosomal RNA, 253 nt
Filed under: uncultured bacterium
Lineage: Bacteria
Description: partial 16S ribosomal RNA
Rfam family: Bacterial small subunit ribosomal RNA
Source: RNAcentral
UACAGAGGGUGCGAGCGUUAAUCGGAAUUAUUGGGUUUAAAGGGUGCGUAGGUGGCCUUAUAAGUCAGCGGUGAAAGUCUGCAGCUUAACUGUAGAACUGCCAUUGAUACUGUAAGGCUUGAGUACUGAUGAGGUAGGCGGAAUUGAUAGUGUAGCGGUGAAAUGCAUAGAUAUUAUCAAGAACACCGAUUGCGAAGGCAGCUUACUAAGGAGUUACUGACACUGAGGCACGAAAGCGUGGGGAUCAAACAGG